Molecule: long non-coding RNA, 1019 nt
Filed under: Vigna radiata
Lineage: Eukaryota; Viridiplantae; Streptophyta; Magnoliopsida; Fabales; Fabaceae
Description: long non-coding RNA (VRAD_LNC014743)
Source: RNAcentral
CUACAUUACAAAUCUGAGUAAAAAAAUAAAUAAACGUACAUGUGAAUCCCAAAUUGUAAUUACUUAUAACAAAGAUCAAUAUAGACUCUUUUUUUCUCUCAAAUUAGUUUGCAAACUAUAGACUCUAAACAAGAUGGAAAUAAUACAUUAUAUUUUGAAGUAAUAGUAUAAUUUACUGCUGCAUAUUUUCCUUCUACAUAAGUACUUGCCAGUAAUCCUGCAAAAACAAUUAAAAAAGAAAACUGAUGUAAGUGCAAAGAAACAGGUGCUACAAAUUCAGAAAAAUUGGUGUUACCUGUUUGUGAUUUGGUAUUGUUUACUUUCAACGUUUGCUUCUUGAACCCUUUUUUCCUUCAGAACCUUUCUUUUCGCUCACAUAAGAUGCUGUGGAUUCCUUUGAUUUCUCUGUGUCUUUGCUAGAACCCUUUUGGUUAGAAGAUUUUCCCUCAGUCAAAUGUUCGCGUGAGGUUUCAUACUCUCUUGUAUCAUUUCCAGAAUAGUGUCAGAGUUUGAAGAAAAGGCAUAGAGGACAAAACUAACUCAAAUUAUGAAUAUUGAAUAUUUAAAAAAGAAAUGAAGGUGAUGAACUACCUCUUGGAUCUAUCAAGGAGGAGGUGUUAAAAACGGUGACCCACACAAAUAAUUUUACUCUUUAAUCCAUUGUGGAUAAUUUUCAUUAAACCUUCUUAACCUUUAAAUAGGUGCAAAUCGAGCCUUGGACCGAGUACAAAUAAUAAAAAUUGACAAUAAAAUAUCAAUUCACUUAAAAAUAAAAUAUACUUAUUCUAUCAUAAAAUAAUAUUCUACUUAAAUAAAUAGAAAAUCAUAAUUACUCAUCUUUAUUUUAUCUCUAUUAAAUCAAAUCAAAUAUUAGUAAACCUAAAACUAAUAAAAUAAGAUUUAAACAAAAUUAUUAAUAAAACUCUAAGAUUUCAACUUAUUCUAACACUACCUGCUGGAAUAGCGAUCGGUUGAUGAGCUCAUUCUUAAUGAACAAUAUGAAUACAAAUUCUAUUCUG